This 370-nucleotide ribosomal RNA is filed under the name uncultured eukaryote. RNAcentral describes it as "partial 18S ribosomal RNA". It matches the Rfam family "Eukaryotic small subunit ribosomal RNA", at positions 592 to 976 of the family's 1831-position model. The record is from RNAcentral.
CAAUAGCGUAUAUUAAAGUUGUUGCAGUUAAAAAGCUCGUAGUUGGAUUUCUGGUCGGAAGCUCCUGUCCUCUGAUGAGCGUACAGGUGCGUCCUACCAUCCUUCUGUUAACCUUUAAGGCUUUCGCGGCUUUCUAGGGGCUCAGAUAUUUUACCUUGAGAAAAUUAGAGUGUUUCAGGCAGGCUAGCGCCGGAAUACAUUAGCAUGGAAUAAUGGAAUAGGACUUUUGCCUCUUCUGUUGGUCAUGAGGCUCGGGUAAUGAUUAAUAGGGAUAGUUGGGGGCAUUAGUACUUAACUGUCAGAGGUGAAAUUCUCGGAUUUGUUAAAGACUAACUUAUGCGAAAGCAUUUGCCAAGGAUGUUUNCAUUAA